RNAcentral lists this long non-coding RNA (908 nucleotides) under Salvia miltiorrhiza (redroot sage). RNAcentral describes it as "long non-coding RNA (SMIL_LNC010449)". The record is from RNAcentral. Lineage: Eukaryota; Viridiplantae; Streptophyta; Magnoliopsida; Lamiales; Lamiaceae.
CCAAUUAUUAAAGAAAGAUGAGUAAGAAUAUUGUUGGUGUUCUUAACUCAAGAGAAAUGUUUUUAAUUAUUUAUUCAUUAAAAACCCGGCUAAGUGAAUCAUAGAAUGUUAAGCACUACACCAUGACUUAAGAUUAGAUUCAAGGAGACCUAUUAAGAAUAGAAUUUCUUGUAGGCUUUGUGGACCAAGGGGAUUAGCACUGUUUUCCCAAGACAGGUUAUGUGAUUAUGAUCUUCAGGCUUUGCCUAUCCAGGUGGGCAUUAUUUUAUUAUUACGUAUUUAGAGAUCCCCUGCGUGUCGUAGGCCUCUUAUACGAAUAUAUGCAUGAGAUGAUUUUAACUGUUAAUUUCAGUUUAUUAUUAUGCCCAAAUGAUAAAUGACUCUUAUGAAAUGAAAAUGAAAUGUUCAUGAAAUGAAAUGAAAUGUUUAUGAAAUGAUUGACUGCCAAAAAUGUUUAUGUUUUUAUAUGUAUCCUAUCUGUGUUGGUUCGCCAACUUUAAAGGAAAUCCAAUUGGGAUCCUAUGCUAGACAAAGGUCGCUAGCUAGGGUUAACGUGUACACUUAUGGAGACCGCGAGUCGCUUGCGACCGGUCUUGGCGUCCGUGGUAAGGAGGCCUCCUUCCCGGCGCGUGACAGAAAGGACAGAUAUGGAUCAUAUGAAGGAAAUGAUCGGCCGAUCGACUUUAUGAAAAUGAAAGAAAUAGUUUUAGUAAGCGCAGGUCAUUCAAGAAAACCCCUGUGUGUUACUGUUAUGGCAGUUCAAUUUAUAUAUGUAUGCAUGUUGUAUUUUCGGCUAUGCCCACUGAGUAUUUUUAUACUCAGCCCUGCAUGUAUUUCUAAAUGUGCAGGUUGAGCAGUUGAUGGAAUGGAAUGAUGUUGAGCGGGUGUUCCUUUGACAUUUCAAGAAA